CAUUAGUGACAGGAAAUCUGGUCUACACAACACCCAAGGCACAGGACAGUGGAAGUGAUGACGGCUCAGAAGGCCAAGUCCAGAUCUUGAGUGAGUACAAAUCCACGAGGAAGCAGAGAUGAGCAAGGCUCAACAAUUCAUUUGGACCUUGACUGAUUUUUUUCAAGGUUGGUAAAACCGAUCCUUAGAGAACCUUCCUGACAUACUAUAGAAAAAAGGCCAUUGCAUAAAAUUGUGAAAGUAACACAGGUCUUUUAU
This 258-nucleotide long non-coding RNA is filed under the name Sus scrofa (pig). RNAcentral's name for it is "lncRNA (ENSSSCG00015045526.1)". The record is from RNAcentral. Lineage: Eukaryota; Metazoa; Chordata; Mammalia; Artiodactyla; Suidae.